RNAcentral lists this long non-coding RNA (343 nucleotides) under Capsicum annuum. RNAcentral describes it as "long non-coding RNA (CANN_LNC010835)". The record is from RNAcentral. Lineage: Eukaryota; Viridiplantae; Streptophyta; Magnoliopsida; Solanales; Solanaceae.
UAUGCAGCCUUACCUUUCAAUUACCCAUUUGCGUCGGAAAACCCAUUACAGGUUUGCGUUGAAAUUUCAGCUCUGAAGAAUGAGGCAUUAGAGAAAUUGGGAUUUUUUGUAAAGGGUGGUUGCCCAUAUCUGCUUUGCCAGUGAUUCCUCAAAAAAAAAAAAAAAAAAAAAACCAACAGCCCUUUGAAAUAUACAAAAAACAAAAAACAAAAUCCAAAAUUCUUCGUACCAAACACACCCUUAUAAUUCUUUGUGUUCUUUCUCUUUCUCCUCCUUUUGUGCUGCUAAAAUGUUGUUUAGGGGCUAUGAUGUAUGAUUGCUUCCUUUCUGAGCUAUGUUCAAU